UCCCUCUUAGCUCAGUGGUAGAGCGCGUCACUAGUAUUUCAGAGAAAAGAACUUUAUGACGAGGUCAGUCGUUCAAGUCGGCUAGAGGGAA
This is a non-coding RNA of Arthromyces matolae, 91 nucleotides long. NCBI's taxonomy places the organism in Eukaryota, Fungi, Basidiomycota, Agaricomycetes, Agaricales, Lyophyllaceae. The record is from the annotation of a GenBank genome assembly.